RNAcentral lists this non-coding RNA (117 nucleotides) under Homo sapiens (human). The record is from Rfam by way of RNAcentral. Lineage: Eukaryota; Metazoa; Chordata; Mammalia; Primates; Hominidae.
GCCGGGCGGGGUGGCUCACGCCUGUAAUCCAAGCACUUUGGGAGGCUGAGGUGGGUGGAUCACCUGAGGUCAGGAGUUCUAGACCAGCCUGGCCAACAUGGUAAAACCCCGUCUCUA